CAGUCGCCGCGGUAAUACAGAGGGUGCGAGCGUUAAUCGGAUUUACUGGGCGUAAAGCGUGCGUAGGCGGCUAAUUGAGUCGGAUGUGAAAUCCCCGAGCUUAACUUGGGAAUUGCAUUCGAUACUGGUUAGCUAGAGUGUGGGAGAGGAUGGUAGAAUUCCAGGUGUAGCGGUGAAAUGCGUAGAGAUCUGGAGGAAUACCGAUGGCGAAGGCAGCCAUCUGGCCUAACACUGACGCUGAGGUACGAAAGCAUGGGGAGCAAACAGGAUUAGAGACCCCUGUAGUCCCUGUCUCUAUACA
Molecule: ribosomal RNA, 301 nt
Filed under: uncultured bacterium
Lineage: Bacteria
Description: partial 16S ribosomal RNA
Rfam family: Bacterial small subunit ribosomal RNA
Source: RNAcentral